AGCGUCCAUGAUGUUCCUCAAUUACCUACAUUGUUUGAGCCUCAUGAAAGCACCCCUGGCUGAGACGCA
Molecule: small nucleolar RNA, 69 nt
Organism: Jaculus jaculus (lesser Egyptian jerboa)
Lineage: Eukaryota; Metazoa; Chordata; Mammalia; Rodentia; Dipodidae
Gene: SNORD34
Rfam family: Small nucleolar RNA SNORD34
About the family: snoRNA U34 is found in intron 5 of the ribosomal protein L13a gene in humans. U34 is a member of the C/D class of snoRNA which contain C (UGAUGA) and D (CUGA) box motifs, and functions in directing site-specific 2'-O-methylation of 25S rRNAs. Although the selection of the target nucleotide requires the antisense element and the conserved box D or D' of the snoRNA, the methyltransferase activity is thought to reside in one of the protein components.
Source: Ensembl